This 433-nucleotide ribosomal RNA is filed under the name uncultured bacterium. RNAcentral describes it as "partial 16S ribosomal RNA". It matches the Rfam family "Bacterial small subunit ribosomal RNA", at positions 29 to 507 of the family's 1533-position model. The record is from RNAcentral.
AACGAACGCUGGCGGCAUGCCUAACACAUGCAAGUCGAACGAGACCUUCGGGUCUAGUGGCGCACCGCUGCGUAACACGUGGGAACCUACCCUUAGGUUACGUAUCACUCACCGAAAGGGGUGCUCAUACAACUUAAUGUCAUAGCACCUAAGAUUUAUCGCCUUUGGAUGGGCCCGCGUUGGAUUAGGCAGUUGGUAGGGUAAAAGCCUACCAAGGCGACGAUCCAUAGCUGGUCUGAGAGGAUGAUCAGCCACACUGGGACUGAGACACGGCCCAGACCGCGACGGGAGGCAGCAGUGGGGAAUAUUGUACGAGGGGCGAAGGCCUGAUCCAGCCACGCGGCGUGAGUGAGGAAUGCGUUAGUGUUGUAAUGCUGUUUUACCCGGGAUGAGAAUGACAGUAAUGGGUGAAGAAGCACCGGCUAACUCCGUG